This 77-nucleotide transfer RNA is filed under the name Sphingomonas sp. RNAcentral describes it as "tRNA-Pro". It matches the Rfam family "tRNA". Rfam says of the family: Transfer RNA (tRNA) molecules are approximately 80 nucleotides in length. Their secondary structure includes four short double-helical elements and three loops (D, anti-codon, and T loops). RNAcentral also lists the same sequence under 8 other names. The record is from RNAcentral. Lineage: Bacteria; Pseudomonadati; Pseudomonadota; Alphaproteobacteria; Sphingomonadales; Sphingomonadaceae.
CGGGGAGUGGCGCAGCCCGGUAGCGCGUCUGCUUUGGGAGCAGAGGGUCGCAGGUUCGAAUCCUGUCUCCCCGACCA